RNAcentral lists this ribosomal RNA (803 nucleotides) under uncultured Thelephoraceae. RNAcentral describes it as "eukaryotic LSU rRNA". The stretch from base 529 to 803 matches the Rfam family "Eukaryotic large subunit ribosomal RNA", at positions 1 to 268 of the family's 3401-position model. The record is from RNAcentral. Lineage: Eukaryota; Fungi; Basidiomycota; Agaricomycetes; Thelephorales; Thelephoraceae.
CACUCUGUUUACACAUCCACUCACACCUGUGCANNNUCUGUAGUUCUGUGGCUGGGGGACUCUGUCCUCCUGCUGUGGUUCUAUGUCUUUACACACACUCUGUAUUAAAGUCUCAUGGAAUGUAUGCCGCGUUUAACGCAAUAAAAUACAACUUUCAGCAACGGAUCUCUUGGCUCUCGCAUCGAUGAAGAACGCAGCGAAAUGCGAUAAGUAAUGUGAAUUGCAGAAUUCAGUGAAUCAUCGAAUCUUUGAACGCACCUUGCGCCCUUUGGCUAUUCCGAAGGGCAUGCCUGUUUGAGUAUCAUGAACACCUCAACUCUCAUGGUUUGCCAUGAUGAGCUUGGACUUUGGGGGACUUGCUGGCCUGCAGUCAGCUCCUCUCAAAUGAAUCAGCUUUCCAGUGUUUGGUGGCAUCACGGGUGUGAUAAAUAUCUACGCUUGUGGUUUGCUGCCAGGUAACCUUCAGCAAUGGGGGUUUGCUGGGGCUCAUAAAUGUCUCUCCUCAGUGAAGACAGCUUUGUGAAUGUUUGAUCUCAAAUCAGGUAGGACUACCCGCUGAACUUAAGCAUAUCAAUAAGCGGAGGAAAAGAAACUAACAAGGAUUCCCCUAGUAACUGCGAGUGAAGCGGGAAGAGCUCAAAUUUAAAAUCUGGCAUGCCUCUGGCUGUCCGAGUUGUAGUCUGGAGAAGCGNUUUCCGUGUUGGACCGUGUAUAAGUCUCUUGGANCAGGGCGUCAUAGAGGGUGAGAAUCCCGUCUUUGACACGGACUACCNAUGCUUUGUGAUGCGCUCUCAAAGANUCNA